Bombina bombina (fire-bellied toad) is the source of this 529-nucleotide long non-coding RNA. RefSeq lists it as uncharacterized. NCBI's taxonomy places the organism in Eukaryota, Metazoa, Chordata, Amphibia, Anura, Bombinatoridae. The transcript is spliced from 2 exons. The record is from RefSeq and is a predicted model, not a curated record.
UGCUCCGGUUUAGCGCACGCAUGCCUAUUGGUAUUAUUAUGGAAUUCCAAUAGUACGCAAUACACUUGCUACAGACUCAUGCACAUUGGAAAAAUGAGUAGCCGAUUGUCGCAUGCGUCGUAGGGAGAUAAUCGCUGAUUUGUGCAUGCGCAGUUGAUUGGAGGAUCGUGAACGCACUUUGGAGACACGUAUAUAGAGUUGGUGGGACCACUCUAUAUGUCACUCACUAGAAAAUAAGGAAAUAGAGGUUGGGAAGAGUUAAGAUCGCAACGGUAGGAGUCAAGCUUAAACUGACAGAUGCUUAAUCCAUUAAAGGGACCACCAUGUUCUGGGCCAUCCUCAUACAGUGCAAAGUGUUCCUCAUGGAUCCAUGAUGUCUAUCAAAUACCUGAUCCACGCAAUGGAAGCCUGAUACAGACACAACCAUGAUGUUUAAUCAACCAAAAAACAGCACAAUAACUUGUUAUACAGUUGCUGCACACAAAUUCUCCUGGGCCACAUACACAGAAAUAAAGUUGUUCUGAAACAA